This is a long non-coding RNA of Melanotaenia boesemani (Boeseman's rainbowfish), 101 nucleotides long. RefSeq lists it as uncharacterized. The record is from RefSeq and is a predicted model, not a curated record. NCBI's taxonomy places the organism in Eukaryota, Metazoa, Chordata, Actinopteri, Atheriniformes, Melanotaeniidae. The transcript is spliced from 3 exons.
CUGAGACAGAGCUUCAGAGUGAGAGGUUUUACACAUGACUCUACAGUACACAUCUUUGUGCUCAGGUACAACUUCAAUAAAAAUCUGAACUUACUGUACAU